This 497-nucleotide ribosomal RNA is filed under the name uncultured bacterium. RNAcentral describes it as "partial 16S ribosomal RNA". It matches the Rfam family "Bacterial small subunit ribosomal RNA", at positions 28 to 507 of the family's 1533-position model. The record is from RNAcentral.
GAUGAACGCUGGCGGCGUGCCUAAUACAUGCAAGUCGAGCGAACGGACGAGAAGCUUGCUUCUCUGAUGUUAGCGGCGGACGGGUGAGUAACACGUGGAUAACCUACCUAUAAGACUGGGAUAACUUCGGGAAACCGUAGCUAAUACCGGAUAAUACUUUGAACCGCAUGGUUCAAAAGUGAAAGACGGUCUUGCUGUCACUUAUAGAUGGAUCCGCGCUGCAUUAGCUAGUUGGUAAGGUAACGGCUUACCAAGGCAACGAUGCAUAGCCGACCUGAGAGGGUGAUCGGCCACACUGGAACUGAGACACGGUCCAGACUCCUACGGGAGGCAGCAGUAGGGAAUCUUCCGCAAUGGGCGAAAGCCUGACGGAGCAACGCCGCGUGAGUGAUGAAGGUCUUCGGAUCGUAAAACUCUGUUAUUAGGGAAGAACAUAUGUGUAUGUAACUGUGCACAUCUUGACGGUACCUAAUCAGAAAGCCACGGCUAACUACGUG